This 1900-nucleotide long non-coding RNA is filed under the name Homo sapiens (human). RNAcentral describes it as "HSALNT0134419". The record is from RNAcentral. Lineage: Eukaryota; Metazoa; Chordata; Mammalia; Primates; Hominidae.
UUGCUGACAGAUCGAGGCGGGCUGAGUGCGCGAGCGGCCGGGGAGUAUUCCCGCGGGUCCUCCGGUUCCCUCCCCACCUCUCCGUUCCCGAAGCCCCCGGUAGUGGGCGGGGAGGGACGGGGGAGUCGUGGAAACUUCGCCCACCGCGCGCGGUCGCCGCGGUGCUGGCCGCGGGCUGGUGGCCGGCAGGCGGUGGCAGCAGCCUCACCGAACAGCUGAAACCCUAGACGGUUUUUUAACUGCGCGGGGCUGCUCGCGGUGCCUAUUAAACAUCCUCCUGGCUGGGUGUCAUUUUCUUGCUUCUCCUUUUGUAUUCUGAUCUGCGCAUAGAUCUGCUGCUGCUGAAAUCUAGAACACCAGCGCGAAAACAGAUUUGAAGACAAUGAAUGCAAAUCUGUGCUCAAAGACCAUCUGCCGUGGAGGAGACAAUCAGCUGUUCGUAGUUCGAGCGAUUGCGCCCCAGUCUCCCGGUCUCAUUACGGGGAGGGCAUUUGCGAGCGCCUGGACUGCGUUCAGGGCACUUUCUCCCCUCUUGGGUCUCAGAUUUGAGAGACCAGAUCCCUUAGGUGUAGGUGAGCGCUCGCAAAUGAACUGCUAGAGUUUGCCGCUAGAGGACACAGCGCCUUGCAACUGGUUUGCCUAGGCUGACAGGAAGCUUGCACUUCAAGAAAACUCGGCUCUCUCGAGAAAGGGACCGGUUUUACGGAGAAUUUCGGUCCCAGCAAAAACUGAUCACCUGGAGUCUUCUACGGUCUCUCUUUAUAAAUCUCUCCGAACCUCAAGCAACUCCCCCCCACCCCCUUCGUCUGGGGUCUGCGCCCAGCGGGGCCAAAGCCUUGAGUUCCUUGGCAGAGAGUGUGGAACAGCCGUGAGCCCUUCAAGACAUGCCUAUGAGCCCGGUGAUUUUUUUUUCAAGGGGGCUUUGAUCAGCUGUACCUCCACGUUGCCCCGGAAAGGUGCGCAGGGCACCCGGAGAGGCCUCUGGUCAGCAGUGGGCCUGGGCCAAGCCCCAACAGUUUACCCCUCAGGCUCAGGUUGGCUGGGGUUAAAGGGCAAAGUCAGGGUCGAGGGCACCAGCUUUUCUCGGCGGUAACAGCUGCCACCCAAAUUAUGCCCCCUCAGGAAGCGAAUGAAUUGUUCCUUUCUCCCAGCUCCCUGCUGCCCGCCCCAAAACAGACGGGGCCGCGCUCGGCGGGCGCCCCUCCUCCCAGCCAACCCCCCGAGACGCGCUCAGGGGCCUCGGUGCCCCGCUGGGAGGCAAUUUGGGGGAGCCGUGGUCCCGAACUUUGACAGAGUGGGGCUUCCCCACUACUUGCCGGCUGCGCUAAGGGCGCCCCCCGCGGCAGUGCUGCUGGGAGCUCCAGGGAUGGCUGUGUGGCUCGCUGCGGGCGUUGAAGUUCCCUGUUGGCCAGGCUGAAGUGCCUGCGCGAGCGUGAGGGGACAAGGACUGCCUUGGGCCCAGCGUGGCGGCGUUUCGGCCAACCCAGUUGGGGUUAAUUGCGUCUGUAUAGGUUUUGGGUAGGAAUGCUCGCGGAGUCCGCCACCCGCGCGAAACAUGCGUUGGUUGGGGGAAUGAGCAGCGGCGGCUGCGCCUGGAGGGUUGCUCCCACCUCUGUCGCCUCCAGCUACCCCCAAACAAACCUCCUUUUCGAUCUCGUGCAACACAAAACCUGCCCCGAGCUGUGCGGGGGCCUGGCAAGCGCAGCUGCGGCCCCGGGAAGCCCAAUCCCGCGGGACUGCGGAGCCCACGCGCUCCUCAGGCUCCGGCCAACUAGCUCGGUUCUGCCUCUAGCCCGGGUCAAGAAAAAUCCAAAAUGAACACUAUGAUUAAAAUUAUUCACAAUCUAUUUAUACAAAACUGGGGGUGUCUGUCUUUUACCCUGUCCCCUUCUUCAUUUAC